Molecule: ribosomal RNA, 51 nt
Filed under: Aspergillus phoenicis
Lineage: Eukaryota; Fungi; Ascomycota; Eurotiomycetes; Eurotiales; Aspergillaceae
Description: partial 25S ribosomal RNA
Source: RNAcentral
GGAUCAGGUAGGGAUACCCGCUGAACUUAAGCAUAUCAAUAAGCGGAGGAA